RNAcentral lists this ribosomal RNA (253 nucleotides) under uncultured bacterium. RNAcentral describes it as "partial 16S ribosomal RNA". It matches the Rfam family "Bacterial small subunit ribosomal RNA", at positions 524 to 776 of the family's 1533-position model. The record is from RNAcentral.
UACGGGGGGUGCAAACGUUGCUCGGAAUUAUUGGGCGUAAAGCGCACGUAGGCGGUCUUGUAAGUCGGGUGUGAAAGCCCGGGGCUUAACCCCGGAAGUGCACUCGAAACUGCAAGGCUUGAGUAUGGAAGAGGGUCUCGGAAUUCCCGGUGUAGAGGUGAAAUUCGUAGAUAUCGGGAGGAACACCAGUGGCUAAGGCGGAGACCUGGGCCAAUACUGACGCUGAGGUGCGAAAGCGUGGGGAGCAAACAGG